CCCAUCCAAUCUUAAAUCAAACACUAAUCAAUUCAAAUGAGAAACCCUAGCUUCAUUUUACAUAUUCAGCCGUCAACAACACUCCCACUCUAUUUUCUCUAAAUCGGAACCCUAAUACCUUAUAAUUGAGGAAAGACAGUGGAUAUGACAAUGAAGGUCGAAUGUGAUAUCGUGAAUGUGGGUGUGCAUGGAAGGUGGCUGUUGAUGGUGGGUAAGAGCUGCGGAAAGAUGGAGGAAGCACCGGACACCGGAGUUUUGAGGAGGCGAUUCUGAUUCCAGGCGUUCUGUGUGACGUUGUGGGUUUGAAAUUCUGGUCGGCAAGGCCGGAUGGUGGUCAAUGAGUAGGCCACAACAUCUUAAUCAGCAAGUUCGUGCGCUAAGUUCGUGUGCUGGAGAUAGCAAUAGAAGUACCAACACUUGCCAUUAUUAAUCUUAAAGAUACUUCAAAUGAGCAGGACAACAAAGUUGGAUCAACAGUUGUGCCUUGCUACCGCUGCUCAAGUAACAGUUGCAAACCCACCCAGUAUGGAUUUGGACCUACUUGUAGACACUACUUUCUAGAGAAGCGACCCCCAAGGUAUAUCUAGAGGUUUUUGUCAAAGGAUCAAUUAAAUGCUGCCGGAGCUUUUUUACAUGGGCUAGAGGAUGAAUAUUAUAAGGUAUUACUGAUGCACUGCAUUUGCUAUAUUAAUUAUUAUCCAUAUACUUAGGAACGGGUCUAUUUGGGCUAUAUUUAAUCUAAAAUGGGAAAAUUUAAACACAUUAUUCAUAAAUGAAUCAAUUUAAAUGCGCCUAACUAGAUAUUAAUUUUCAUUUCUUUUACUGAUAUUUAAGUGAUGCAAGUCCUCUAUAAUUAACUUAUUUGAAUCGCCAUGCAUAUUUGUUUUGUUGAGGCGCUAUUUAUAUGAAAAUGAUGACCAGGUCAGUGGUACAUUUAGUCUUUUCAUUUCUCUAAAUAAAGGAAGUAACUAACAAACCGACCCAAGCCACGCUAGAAACUAACCAAUUGGCAUUAUGUCACAUGGCUACAACAUAUAUAAAUUUAAUUGUAGGUGAUGGUCCGUUGAUGGGCUAAAAGGCAUUAGAACUGGCCACCAGUUACAAGUUUACUCACUACCACAACACGAGCAAGGUGGCCACCAGUCCAUGAAUGCAAAUUUGCAGCACUUUGAAGUCCAAAAGCAGUGAGUAUACAUGGACUCGAAGAAGGCAGUCUAGAAACAACUGUUAGAUUUUGUGUACAUUUAUUCUCCUUUGCAACUUUUGUAGAUAGGUUUUGAUUAGAAGUUAUGUCUUUCAUUGGUAUUUAAACUGAAAAGUUAUGUAUGGAUUUUUGGUUAUUAUUGU
This 1347-nucleotide long non-coding RNA is filed under the name Helianthus annuus (common sunflower). RNAcentral's name for it is "hypothetical non coding rna". The record is from RNAcentral. Lineage: Eukaryota; Viridiplantae; Streptophyta; Magnoliopsida; Asterales; Asteraceae.